GCCUCUGUGGAUGAAGUAAAUUGCCUCUUACAUUGUUGGAUUCUGCUGUGGAAAAUUUCAAAGAGGAGAUGCGGGUUCGAUUCCCACCGGAGGCA
Molecule: non-coding RNA, 95 nt
Organism: Mycena polygramma
Lineage: Eukaryota; Fungi; Basidiomycota; Agaricomycetes; Agaricales; Mycenaceae
Source: the annotation of a GenBank genome assembly